CCGACAAUGAGGCCGGGGACGGGAGCCGAGCGUGGAGGCCUCAUGAUGGGGCACCCUGGCAUGCAUUAUGCACCGAUGGGAAUGCACCCAAUGGGUCAGAGAGCAAAUAUGCCUCCUGUACCUCAUGGAAUGAUGCCACAAAUGAUGCCCCCUAUGGGAGGGCCACCAAUGGGACAAAUGCCUGGAAUGAUGUCCUCAGUAAUGCCUGGAAUGAUGAUGUCUCAUAUGUCUCAGGCUUCCAUGCAACCUGCCUUACCGCCAGGAGUAAAUAGUAUGGAUGCAGCAGCAGGUGCAGCAUCUGGUGUAAAAUCAAUGUGGACUGAACAUAAAUCACCUGAUGGAAGAACUUACUACUACAAUACUGAAACGAAACAGCCCACCUGGGAGAAACCAGAUGAUCUUAAAAUGCCUGCUGAGCAACUCUUAUCUAAAUGCCCUUGGAAGGAAUAUAAGUCUGAUUCUGGAAAGCCUUAUUAUUAUAAUUCUCAAACAAAAGAAUCGCGCUGGGCCAAACCUAAAGAACUUGAGGAUCUUGAAGGAUACCAGAAUACCAUUGUUGCUAGAGAUCUUAUUACAAAAUCAAACCUGCAUGCCAUGAUCAAAGCUGAAGAAAGCAGCAAACAAGAAGAUUGCAGCACAUCAGCAGCUCCAGUUCCUACAACAGAAAUUCCUACUACUAUGACCACCAUGGCUGCUGCAGAAGCCGCAGCUGUUGUUGUUGCUGCAGCAGCUGCAGCUGCAGCUGCAGCAGCUGCAGCAGCAGCCAAUGCUAGUGCUUCCACUUCUACUACUAAUAGUGUGGGAACUGUUCCAGUUGUUCCUGAACCUGAAGUUACUUCCAUUGUUGCAACUGUUGUAGAUAAUGAAAAUACAGUAAAUAUUUCAACUGAAGAACAAGCACAGCUUACUAAUACCUCUACUAUUCAGGAUCUAAGUGUUGAAGUAUCUAGUAAUGUAGAAGAAACAUCUAAGCUGGAAGCUGUAGCAAAUUUUACUCCCAAAAAAGAAGAGGAAGAGAACCAACCAGCAAAAAAAACUUAUACUUAGAAUACGAAGGAAGAGGCAAAGCACACAUUCAAAGAAUUACUAAAAGAAAAGCGGGUACCAUCCAAUGCUUCAUGGGAGCAAGCUAUGAAGAUGAUCAUUAAUGAUCCACGAUACAGUGCGUUAGCAAAAUUGAGUGAGAAAAAGCAGGCCUUUAAUGCCUAUAAAGUACAGAGAGAGAAAGAGGAAAAAGAAGAAGCAAGAUCAAAAUACAAAGAAGCUAAGGAAUCCUUUCAGCGUUUUCUAGAAAAUCAUGAGAAAAUGACCUCUACAACCAGAUAUAAAAAAGCAGAACAAAUGUUUGGAGAGAUGGAAGUCUGGAAUGCAAUAUCUGAACGUGAUCGUCUUGAAAUCUAUGAGGAUGUUUUAUUCUUUCUGUCAAAAAAAGAAAAGGAACAAGCAAAGCAGUUGCGAAAGAGAAAUUGGGAAGCCUUAAAAAACAUACUUGAAAAUAUGGCUAAUGUAAUGUACUCUACUACUUGGUCAGAGGCCCAGCAGUAUCUAAUGGAUAAUCCAACUUUUGCAGAAGAUGAAGAGUUACAGAACAUGGACAAAGAAGAUGCAUUAAUUUGCUUUGAAGAACACAUUCGGGCUUUAGAAAAGGAGGAGGAAGAAGAAAAGCAGAAAAGCUUGCUGAGAGAAAGGCGACGGCAGCGUAAAAAUAGGGAAUCUUUCCAGAUAUGUUUAGAUGAACUACAUGAACAUGGACAACUACAUUCUAUGUCAUCUUGGAUGGAACUGUAUCCAACCAUUAGUUCUGACAUUAGAUUUACUAAUAUGCUUGGUCAGCCUGGAUCAACUGCCCUUGAUCUUUUCAAGUUUUAUGUUGAGGAUCUUAAAGCACGUUAUCACGAUGAAAAAAAGAUAAUAAAAGACAUUCUAAAGGAUAAAGGAUUUGUAGUUGAAGUAAAUACUACAUUUGAAGAUUUUGUGGCAAUAAUCAGUUCAACUAAACGAUCAACUACCUUAGAUGCUGGAAAUAUCAAGUUGGCUUUCAAUAGGCACUGCAGGAUGGAUUAA
Octodon degus (degu) is the source of this 2064-nucleotide RNA transcript. It is a transcript of the gene named pre-mRNA-processing factor 40 homolog A pseudogene, with no coding region annotated. The transcript has 2 exons. The record is from RefSeq and is a predicted model, not a curated record. NCBI's taxonomy places the organism in Eukaryota, Metazoa, Chordata, Mammalia, Rodentia, Octodontidae.